GUCUACGGCCAUACCACCCUGAAGCACCCGAUCUCUUCUGAUCUUGGAAGCUAAGCAGGGUGGGGCCUGGUUAGUACUUGGAUGGGAGAAAACAGGGAAACAGCAAGAGCAAACA
RNAcentral lists this ribosomal RNA (115 nucleotides) under Octodon degus (degu). The record is from RNAcentral. Lineage: Eukaryota; Metazoa; Chordata; Mammalia; Rodentia; Octodontidae.